UGCCUCGUCCGCGGCUCCAAGUGUGGCACUUGGAGCCUGCAGAUCCGGACCCUUCGCUCGCGCUUUGGGCUGCGGUCGGUUCUGAAGCAGCCAAUCCUGGAUUCAAAACAAUGGGGCAUGUCUGCAAAAACUGAGAAUUUUGCAAUCAGGGAGAUGUUUUGAAAUGUUCCCGGUGGGGAAGAUUUGAAGGAAAAGUUUGCUUUCCAGGAGAAUUCAUGCUAGCGAAGCUCGACUGGCUGUUCAAGGAAAAACCCAGAAGAUCCCAUCUCUCAUCCGUCUGUUUUUAAAUAAAUGAAAUGAAACCCAAAAUACACCAAUCAAUGAAGAAGCCACAAAAGAAAAUUCAAGAGCCCUCUUUUCCUCCCCACUCUGAAGACCAGAGGAAAACAAGUGUGAAAAGAAAAUCUAUGCAGUAUUGUUCCACUUCAGAAUGGAUGAGAACAGAAUGGAAGAAGGAGCAGAGGAAGAAUUUUUUUAAAGACUCACCCCUUCCACUCCAAAUUAACUGGGAAUUCAGGAAAAGACAACAUUUUUUUGUUGUCUUUGAGUUGAACUAUAUUUUUUUCACUCCUUUUUUUCAUUCCAGAAAAUGAAUCCUGGACUCUGUGUCUCUCUUACCCUUAGUAAGAGUGGUAAAAAGCUGUUGUAGCCUUGUCAGGUCUUUUCAAUGAGAACGGCUAAGAAACUCCACUCAAAAUGUGUCUGGGGGUAGUUCACACCUGUGUUUUGUGCAGUGUAUCUUGAAUGCACACAUUAUACACUCACACAGAUUUAUAAAUGGAAUAUACUGCUUGGAUGCUUUCUUAUAUUGUCAUAAAUCAUUUACUUUCAUCAUUCCCAUAACAACCAGAACCAUAUAAUCAGAUGCCCAGGAAAUUAAUCCUUCUGUUAGGGGAAAUAUAGCCACUUCAGUGUAUGCAAAGCCUUGACCAAAGCAUCUCUUGUGAAAAGAUGCUGACGUUCACAUGCUCUCAAAGCAUAUGUGUACCGACACUUCAAAUCGGUAGCAAUUGUCUAACCGGAGCACAAGAACCUCAUAGGAUCUAUGUGUGCAUGCUUUGCCUUACUGUUUUUGUCUGAUUAAAGGAGAUGAAAGCUUCUAUAAAAACCAAUCCUGCAAGUGCAAUUGCAUUAUCCAGGAAUGAGGAGUUCCUGACAGCAACUUCCCUUAACACCCACAGUGCCGAGGUCAAGCACUGGAGCUCGAGUUCAACUCUAACCCCAAUUUUCUCUAUGUCUUUGCAGGCAGGUGGACUUAGGCAGUGCACAAACCAUUUAAAUAUUGCUCCAGAAUGAAAAUAGCUUACUUGACAGAUUGGAUCCAAUUUUAAGGUGCUGCCUUCAUUACAUUCCAGUGUAAUGUUCCAGCAUAUCUGCUCAUUG
Molecule: long non-coding RNA, 1383 nt
Filed under: Anser cygnoides (Swan goose)
Lineage: Eukaryota; Metazoa; Chordata; Aves; Anseriformes; Anatidae
Description: lncRNA (ENSACDG00005010734.1)
Source: RNAcentral